Molecule: ribosomal RNA, 420 nt
Filed under: Escherichia coli
Lineage: Bacteria; Pseudomonadati; Pseudomonadota; Gammaproteobacteria; Enterobacterales; Enterobacteriaceae
Description: partial 23S ribosomal RNA
Rfam family: Bacterial large subunit ribosomal RNA
Source: RNAcentral
UAUAACCGGCGAUUUCCGAAUGGGGAAACCCAGUGUGUUUCGACACACUAUCAUUAACUGAAUCCAUAGGUUAAUGAGGCGAACCGGGGGAACUGAAACAUCUAAGUACCCCGAGGAAAAGAAAUCAACCGAGAUUCCCCCAGUAGCGGCGAGCGAACGGGGAGCAGCCCAGAGCCUGAAUCAGUGUGUGUGUUAGUGGAAGCGUCUGGAAAGGCGCGCGAUACAGGGUGACAGCCCCGUACACAAAAAUGCACAUGCUGUGAGCUCGAUGAGUAGGGCGGGACACGUGGUAUCCUGUCUGAAUAUGGGGGGACCAUCCUCCAAGGCUAAAUACUCCUGACUGACCGAUAGUGAACCAGUACCGUGAGGGAAAGGCGAAAAGAACCCCGGCGAGGGGAGUGAAAAAGAACCUGAAACCGU